GAUGAACGCUGGCGGCGUGCCUAAUACAUGCAAGUCGAGCGAACAGACGAGGAGCUUGCUCCUCUGACGUUAGCGGCGGACGGGUGAGUAACACGUGGAUAACCUACCUAUAAGACUGGGAUAACUUCGGGAAACCGGAGCUAAUACCGGAUAAUAUAUUGAACCGCAUGGUUCAAUAGUGAAAGACGGUUUUGCUGUCACUUAUAGAUGGAUCCGCGCCGCAUUAGCUAGUUGGUAAGGUAACGGCUUACCAAGGCGACGAUGCGUAGCCGACCUGAGAGGGUGAUCGGCCACACUGGAACUGAGACACGGUCCAGAGUCCUACGGGAGGCAGCAGUAGGGAAUCUUCCGCAAAGGGCGAAAGCCUGACGGAGCAACGCCGCGUGAGUGAUGAAGGUCUUCGGAUCGUAAAACUCUGUUAUUAGGGAAGAACAAAUGUGUAAGUAACUAUGCACGUCUUGACGGUACCUAAUCAGAAAGCCACGGCUAACUACGUG
RNAcentral lists this ribosomal RNA (497 nucleotides) under uncultured bacterium. RNAcentral describes it as "partial 16S ribosomal RNA". It matches the Rfam family "Bacterial small subunit ribosomal RNA", at positions 28 to 507 of the family's 1533-position model. The record is from RNAcentral.